RNAcentral lists this ribosomal RNA (468 nucleotides) under uncultured bacterium. RNAcentral's name for it is "partial 16S ribosomal RNA". It matches the Rfam family "Bacterial small subunit ribosomal RNA", at positions 28 to 507 of the family's 1533-position model. The record is from RNAcentral.
GACGAACGCUGGCGGCGUGCUUAACACAUGCAAGUCGAACGGAAAGGCCCUGCUUUUGUGGGGUGCUCGAGUGGCGAACGGGUGAGUAACACGUGAGUAACCUGCCCUUGACUUUGGGAUAACUUCAGGAAACUGGGGCUAAUACCGGAUAGGAGCUCCUGCUGCAUGGUGGGGGUUGGAACGUUUCGGCGGUUGGGGAUGGACUCGCGGCUUAUCAGCUUGUUGGUGGGGGAGUGGCUUACCAAGGCUUUGACGGGUAGCCGGCCUGAGAGGGUGACCGGCCACAAUGGGACUGAGAGACGGCCCAGACUCCUACGGGAGGCAGCAGGGGGGAAUAUUGCACAAUGGGCGGAAGCCUGAUGCAGCAACGCCGCGUGCGGGAUGACGGCCUUCGGGUUGUAAACCGCUUUAGCCUGUGACGAAGCGUGAGUGACGGUAAUGGGUAAAGAAGCACCGGCUAACUACGUG